GAUGAACGCUGGCGGCGUGCCUAAUACAUGCAAGUCGAGCGAACGGACGAGAAGCUUGCGUCUCUGAUGUUAGCGGCGGACGGGUGAGUAACACGUGGAUAACCUACCUAUAAGACUGGGAUAACUUCGGGAAACCGGAGCUAAUACCGGAGGAUAUUUUGAACCGCAUGGUUCAAAAGUGAAAGACGGUCUUGCUGUCACUUAUAGAUGGAUCCGCGCUGCAUUAGCUAGUUGGUAAGGUAACGGCUUACCAAGGCAACGAUGCAUAGCCGACCUGAGAGGGUGAUCGGCCACCCUGGAACUGGGCCACGGUCCAGGCUCCUACGGGAGGCAGCAGUAGGGAAUCUUCCGCAAUGGGCGAAAGCCUGACGGAGCAACGCCGCGUGAGUGAUGAAGGUCUUCGGAUCGUAAAACUCUGUUAUUAGGGAAGAACAUAUGUGUAAGUAACUGUGCACAUCUUGACGGUACCUAAUCAGAAAGCCCCGGCUAACUACGUG
This 497-nucleotide ribosomal RNA is filed under the name uncultured bacterium. RNAcentral's name for it is "partial 16S ribosomal RNA". It matches the Rfam family "Bacterial small subunit ribosomal RNA", at positions 28 to 507 of the family's 1533-position model. The record is from RNAcentral.